CUCAGGAUGAACGCUGGCGGCGUGCCUAACACAUGCAAGUCGAACGAAGCGCUUUUCCCGAAUUUUCGGAGGAGGGGAGAGUGACUGAGUGGCGGACGGGUGAGUAACGCGUGGGGAACCUGCCCUGUACCGGGGGAUAACAGCCGGAAACGGCUGCUAAUACCGCAUAAGCGCACAGUGCCGCAUGGCACGGUGUGAAAAACCACGGUGGUACAGGAUGGCCCCGCGUCUGAUUAGUUGGUUGGCAGGGUAACGGCCUACCAAGACGGCGAUCAGUAGCCGGCCUGAGAGGGUGAACGGCCACACUGGGACUGAGACACGGCCCAGACUCCUGCGGGAGGCAGCAGUGGGGAAUAUUGCACAAUGGGGGAAACCCUGAUGCAGCGACGCCGCGUGAGCGAGGAAGUAUUUCGGUAUGUAAAGCUCUGUCAGCAGGGAAGAAGAAUGACGGUACCUGAAGAAGAAGCACCGGCUAAAUACGUGCCAGCAGCCGCGGUAAUACGUAUGGUGCAAGCGUUAUCCGGAUUUACUGGGUGUAAAGGGAGCGCAGGCGGUUCUGCAAGUCUGAUGUGAAAGCCCGGGGCUCAACCGCGGGA
Molecule: ribosomal RNA, 596 nt
Filed under: uncultured bacterium
Lineage: Bacteria
Description: bacterial SSU rRNA
Rfam family: Bacterial small subunit ribosomal RNA
Source: RNAcentral